GCUUCUCAAGCCUUCAUAUUCGGCUAGUAAAAAGAGAAUGAAAAAGAUGACACCUUGAUUCUUUUAUUAUAUUCAUUUUAUUAUUAUUUUUAACCAAUUUACAAUAUUAACCUUUAUACACUUUAUUUAUUACACCAAAUGCCAAGCCAUUAUAUCUCACUAUCUCUUUAAUGGGCUAAUUACCAAAUAAGGACUUCUACUUUUAAGUUCUAUAUCUAUUUAAUACCUUUAGAUUAUAGAACACAACUU
This 249-nucleotide long non-coding RNA is filed under the name Gossypium barbadense (sea-island cotton). Its description in RNAcentral is "long non-coding RNA (GBAR_LNC006128)". Lineage: Eukaryota; Viridiplantae; Streptophyta; Magnoliopsida; Malvales; Malvaceae. The record is from RNAcentral.